RNAcentral lists this unclassified non-coding RNA (302 nucleotides) under Fusarium sp. Its description in RNAcentral is "partial contains 5.8S ribosomal RNA, internal transcribed spacer 2, and large subunit ribosomal RNA". The stretch from base 1 to 71 matches the Rfam family "5.8S ribosomal RNA", at positions 84 to 154 of the family's 154-position model. Lineage: Eukaryota; Fungi; Ascomycota; Sordariomycetes; Hypocreales; Nectriaceae. The record is from RNAcentral.
GUGAGUCAUCGAAUCUUUGAACGCACAUUGCGCCCGCCAGUAUUCUGGCGGGCAUGCCUGUUCGAGCGUCAUUACAACCCUCAGGCCCCCGGGCCUGGCGUUGGGGAUCGGCGGAGCCCCCCGUGGGCACACGCCGUCCCCUAAAUACAGUGGCGGUCCCGCCGCAGCUUCCAUUGCGUAGUAGCUAACACCUCGCAACUGGAGAGCGGCGCGGCCACGCCGUAAAACAUCCAACUUCUGAAUGUUGACCUCGAAUCAGGUAGGAAUACCCGCUGAACUUAAGCAUAUCAAUAAGCGGAGGA